RNAcentral lists this long non-coding RNA (815 nucleotides) under Homo sapiens (human). RNAcentral describes it as "HSALNT0333719". The record is from RNAcentral. Lineage: Eukaryota; Metazoa; Chordata; Mammalia; Primates; Hominidae.
GAGAAAGGGCAAAGUCAGGAGUGUGUCAGCACCAAAGGCCAGCUCACCUGUCCCUCCCAACGUGGACCCCUCCUGCAGCCACCUAUGACAGGCAGAGAAGGUGUAGAAGGAAGGGAUGGUAGGAGAGGUUGUUCUCUCCAGAAGACGGAUGUGUACAAUGAGAUCUACCUCCUCCUCUCCUGCUAGCCCCGCACUGUGGGGAUGGGGGCAUGGCUCCCAAUGCUGCCUUCACAACCUCCUAGACCCCAGCCCUCAGGGUCCAUAAGAGGAGAAGCAAAGGGAUUACAAAUACUCCUCAGAGGCUGACCUGCUCGACCACCCAGCCAUGUCUUUUCCUUGGAAGAUUACCAGCUGGAUCUCUUUCAGGAAGGGGACUAUGGAGAUGUUUUUCCUUUCUCGUUUUCGGGUCUGUUAUCUUCUGUGACCAUUGCUAUUGUGUGGUAUGCUGAUUGCUCUCCCUAUCCCUCUCUGAGCUCCAGUCUUAUGGUCAGAUAAACUGUAAUGCCAUGGCGCCCCAAGCUGAAACCCACGAAUGGUGGGAUUUGCAUGAACUCUCAUAACAGAUGGGCAGAGCCAGGACUAGAACCCAGCUCCCUAGACUCCUGGCUUAGCGCUCUUUCCACGGCUGCUUCAUGGAGGUAGGAGACUUUGAGGCCAGGCUGCCUGGGUCCAAAUACCAGCUCUACCACUUACUGUGAGGUCCAGGAAAGGUUUUCUGUGCCCCAGUUUCAUCUCCUGUAAAAUGGGCUAAUAUAAGCAGUACCUAUCUCACGGGAUUCUUUUGAGAAUUAAAUAUAUAUGCUUCAUAUAUAUAU